This 252-nucleotide ribosomal RNA is filed under the name uncultured bacterium. RNAcentral's name for it is "partial 16S ribosomal RNA". It matches the Rfam family "Bacterial small subunit ribosomal RNA", at positions 524 to 775 of the family's 1533-position model. The record is from RNAcentral.
UACGUAGGAUCCAAGCGUUGUCCGGAUUUACUGGGUGUAAAGGGUGCGCAGGCGGACUUAUAAGUCAGGGGUGAAAUCUCACUGCUCAACAGUGAAACUGCCUUUGAUACUGUAGGUCUUGAAUUAGGGAGAGAUUCGUGGAAUUCCGAGUGUAGCAGUGAAAUGUGUAGAUAUUCGGAAGAACACCAGAGGCGAAGGCAGCGAAUUGGCCCUAUAUUGACGCUCAGGCACGAAAGCAUGGGGAUCAAACAG